AUAGGUGGGAGGCUUUGAAACCAGGACGCCAGUUUUGGCGGAGCCAUCCUUGGGAUACCACCCUUGUAGUACUGGGACUCUAACCAUAGGCCAUGAAUCUGGUCUUGGGACACUGUCAGGUGGGCAGUUUGACUGGGGCGGUCGCCUCCCAAAAGGUAACGGAGGCGCGCAAAGGUUCUCUCAGUACGGUCGGAAAUCGUACGUAGAGUGUAAAGGCAAAAGAGAGCUUGAUUGCAAGACAUACAGGUCGAGCAAGGAUGAAAAUCGGACUUAGUGAUCCGGUGGUUCGGCGUGGAAGGGCCAUCGCUCAACGGAUAAAAGCUACCCUGGGGAUAACAGGCUUAUCUCCCCCAAGAGUCCACAUCGACGGGGAGGUUUGGCACCUCGAUGUCGGCUCAUCACAUCCUGGGGCUGUAGUAGGUCCCAAGGGUUGGGCUGUUCGCCCAUUAAAGUGGUACGCGAGCUGGGUUCAGAACGUCGUGAGACAGUUCGGUCCCUAUCCGUCGCAGGCGUAGGAAAUUUGAGAAGACCUGUCCUUAGUACGAGAGGACCGGGAUGGACGUACCUCUGGUGUACCAGUUGUCCUGCCAAGGGCAUGGCUGGGUAGCUAUGUACGGAAUGGAUAAGCGCUGAAAGCAUCUAAGCGCGAAG
This 651-nucleotide ribosomal RNA is filed under the name Clostridioides difficile. RNAcentral describes it as "bacterial LSU rRNA". It matches the Rfam family "Bacterial large subunit ribosomal RNA", at positions 2143 to 2792 of the family's 2925-position model. Lineage: Bacteria; Bacillati; Bacillota; Clostridia; Peptostreptococcales; Peptostreptococcaceae. The record is from RNAcentral.